UUAGCACUCUGGACUUUGAAUCCAGCG
Molecule: non-coding RNA, 27 nt
Filed under: Drosophila melanogaster (fruit fly)
Lineage: Eukaryota; Metazoa; Arthropoda; Insecta; Diptera; Drosophilidae
Also listed under: 4 other names
Source: RNAcentral